Long non-coding RNA from Zonotrichia albicollis (white-throated sparrow), 474 nucleotides. RefSeq lists it as uncharacterized. The record is from RefSeq and is a predicted model, not a curated record. NCBI's taxonomy places the organism in Eukaryota, Metazoa, Chordata, Aves, Passeriformes, Passerellidae.
AUGCAGUCCUGGCCGAGUACUUUUCCAGUGAAAAAAUGUUAAUUUGUUCCAUGCCAUCACCAUUUUUUCAUGUACCUAUGUUCAAAGUCAACUUUCACUGAUCACCCCAGAGAGAGAGAAUUUGUAUAUACACUGCAUUAAAUCAUGUUUGGUAGCAACCUGUGAACCGUGCUGAUAAAAGAAGAAUUGACCUAAACGACUCAACCUCAAUCUAAUGAGAUCAAAAAACAUCAGCAAUAUUAAACCUCACUCUUCUCCCUGGAGGGAUUGUGUUUUUGCAGAAGGCCAAAGAACACAUGGGCAGGAAACAGCUCUUAGGAUGUUGCUCAUUGCCUGUGACCAAGAUCACCCCAUUUAGCCUGAAGAGUUGACCUGGCUCAGACGAUGAGAUUACAAAGCUCAGUUUUGUUUUUCCAUGCAGUACGUAAGACAAUUUUCUUCCUGGACUGCAGGAAGUUUCUAGCCAUGACACUU